GAUGAAGUGGCUGAAUUAAGUGAUAAAUUGUAAAUUUAUUUAUGAAAUGUGAAUUUCCUUUAUUA
Molecule: transfer RNA, 65 nt
Filed under: Blasticotoma sp. 'minuta'
Lineage: Eukaryota; Metazoa; Arthropoda; Insecta; Hymenoptera; Blasticotomidae
Description: tRNA-Tyr
Source: RNAcentral